GACGAGGGACCUAGCGUUGUUCGGAAUCAUUGGGCGUAAAGGGUGCGUAGGUGGCCAUGUAAGUCAGUUGUGAAAUCCCCGGGCUCAACCCGGGAAGUGCUUCUGAUACUGCUUGGCUUGAAUAUUGGAGAGGUGAGUGGAAUUCCAGGUGUAGUGGUGAAAUACGUAGAUAUCUGGAGGAACACCGGCGGCGAAGGCGGCUCACUGGCCAUAUAUUGACACUGAAGCACGAAAGCGUGGGGAGCAAACAGG
RNAcentral lists this ribosomal RNA (252 nucleotides) under uncultured bacterium. RNAcentral describes it as "partial 16S ribosomal RNA". It matches the Rfam family "Bacterial small subunit ribosomal RNA", at positions 524 to 776 of the family's 1533-position model. The record is from RNAcentral.